GAUGAACGCUGGCGGCGUGCCUAAUACAUGCAAGUCGAGCGAACAGACGAGGAGCUUGCUCCUCUGACGUUAGCGGCGGACGGGUGAGUAACACGUGGAUAACCUACCUAUAAGACUGGGAUAACUUCGGGAAACCGGAUCUAAUACCGGAUAAUAUAUUGAACCGCAUGGUUCAAUAGUGAAAGACGGUUUUGCUGUCACUUAUAGAUGGAUCCGCGCCGCAUUAGCUAGUUGGGAAGGUAACGGCUUACCAAGGCAACGAUGCGUAGCCGACCUGAGAGGGUGAUCGGCCACACUGGAACUGAGACACGGUCCAGACUCCUACGGGAGGCAGCAGUAGGGAAUCUUCCGCAAUAGGCGAAAGCCUUGCGGAGCAACGCCGCGUGAGUGAUGACGGUCUUCGGAUCGUAAAACUCUGUUAUUAGGGAAGAACAAAUGUGUAAGUAACUAUGCACGUCUUGACGGUACCUAAUCAGAAAGCCACGGCUAACUACGUG
RNAcentral lists this ribosomal RNA (497 nucleotides) under uncultured bacterium. RNAcentral's name for it is "partial 16S ribosomal RNA". It matches the Rfam family "Bacterial small subunit ribosomal RNA", at positions 28 to 507 of the family's 1533-position model. The record is from RNAcentral.